AUUGGCGCGCGCGGCAGGUGCUGGAGUGGCCGAGCAGGUCGACGACGUACAGGCGUGCAUGUGCGGAUGCGGGGACGCGGUAGCCGUAUCGAGUACGCAGCCAAGGUGUUCGACGAAAUGCGAGCCGCGGGAGAAGUGAAGCUGAGCCUGCGAAGUGGGAGCGGGUCAAGGAUGCGCGCGGCUCGGACAUGUGCAGAUGUGACGCGGCGAGGCCGAAGUGAGCGCGUGUCCAGCAGCAGGAAGAGGAGGAGCAGUUGCGCGGCAUGCGGGGCGACAGCGUGCAGCGCAUGGCGGAGUUCCAAGUUGGUGUGCAGGAGUGUCACGCGUGAUGGACAUUAGAGGCCGUCGAGGAAAACGCAGCGGAAGGCACGGCCCUAAUGCAGGUAGACCACAGUCCUCGCGAAGGCGGAAGUGAGAGUAUGGCGUGGCGAAUCAGAAAAAGAAGCCACGGAGCGAAGGCAGUGGUCGGGCGUGACGAGCUCGGAGGAGAUGCGGUGUAGCCAGGCACGACGGGCUCCCUUCAUCUAUAUGGAAGUCGAGGCGGGAGCAACGCGAUACGGGUUUGACGUGCAACGCAAGACCGGCGGCGGUGAUAGGUCAAACCAGAUGGCGUCACAACAGGUGGAGAGGGCGGCGAAGUUACAGGACCCAGAGGUCCGAGCGGAACUGAACCGGCGCGUUCGCGAGUGCGAGCGGAAGCGUUCUACCGGUGGCCGGCUCAGCUCGUGAGUAGGAAAAUCCUGGGGUUCGCGGAGAAGUCGGUAUAGCGAACCCAUUCGGCUCCAUUGUCUCGUCCCAGAAUCCACGACCUCCAACAGUUGCAUCCCUCGUGGCUCACUCAACCGCUAUCACCACGAGUCACCUCGGAGAUUACCCCUUCGACCAUCUUCCACCCACGGCAACCCUUCCCGGCAAACUUCUUCGUCGACCACGGAAUCUCAUCAUCGU
Molecule: long non-coding RNA, 948 nt
Filed under: Panicum hallii
Lineage: Eukaryota; Viridiplantae; Streptophyta; Magnoliopsida; Poales; Poaceae
Description: long non-coding RNA (PHAL_LNC000960)
Source: RNAcentral